This 101-nucleotide non-coding RNA is filed under the name uncultured Sutterella sp. Its description in RNAcentral is "S-adenosyl-L-homocysteine riboswitch". It matches the Rfam family "SAH (S-adenosyl-L-homocysteine) riboswitch aptamer". Lineage: Bacteria; Pseudomonadati; Pseudomonadota; Betaproteobacteria; Burkholderiales; Sutterellaceae. The record is from RNAcentral.
CCCGAGGAGCGCUGCGACGAACCUCCUUCGCCAGGCUCGGGAUUGUUCCACGUGAAACAUCCGCGUUCACGUACCUCUCUUUCCUUCAACGGCGCUCAUUU